Molecule: ribosomal RNA, 594 nt
Filed under: Alteromonas macleodii
Lineage: Bacteria; Pseudomonadati; Pseudomonadota; Gammaproteobacteria; Alteromonadales; Alteromonadaceae
Description: bacterial SSU rRNA
Rfam family: Bacterial small subunit ribosomal RNA
Source: RNAcentral
UAACACAUGCAAGUCGAACGGUAACAGGAAGUGCUUGCACUUCGCUGACGAGUGGCGGACGGGUGAGUAAUGCUUGGGAACUUGCCUUUGCGAGGGGGAUAACAGUUGGAAACGACUGCUAAUACCGCAUAANGUCUACGGACCAAACGGGGCUUAGGCUCCGGCGCAAAGAGAGGCCCAAGUGAGAUUAGCUAGUUGGUAAGGUAAAGGCUUACCAAGGCAACGAUCUCUAGCUGUUCUGAGAGGAAGAUCAGCCACACUGGAACUGAGACACGGUCCAGACUCCUACGGGAGGCAGCAGUGGGGAAUAUUGCACAAUGGGGGAAACCCUGAUGCAGCCAUGCCGCGUGUGUGAAGAAGGCCUUCGGGUUGUAAAGCACUUUCAGUUGUGAGGAAAAGUUAGUAGUUAAUACCUGCUAGCCGUGACGUUAACAACAGAAGAAGCACCGGCUAACUCCGUGCCAGCAGCCGCGGUAAUACGGAGGGUGCGAGCGUUAAUCGGAAUUACUGGGCGUAAAGCGCACGCAGGCGGUUUGUUAAGCUAGAUGUGAAAGCCCCGGGCUCAACCUGGGAUGGUCAUUUAGAACUGGCAGA